RNAcentral lists this ribosomal RNA (835 nucleotides) under uncultured Bacteroidota bacterium. Its description in RNAcentral is "bacterial SSU rRNA". It matches the Rfam family "Bacterial small subunit ribosomal RNA", at positions 32 to 871 of the family's 1533-position model. The record is from RNAcentral. Lineage: Bacteria; Pseudomonadati; Bacteroidota.
AACGCUAGCGGCAGGCCUAACACAUGCAAGUCGAGGGAGAGGUUACCUUCGGGUAACCAAAACCGGCGCACGGGUGCGUAACGCGUAUACAAUCUGCCUUUCACAUAGGGAUAGCCCGAAGAAAUUUGGAUUAAUACCUAAUGGUAUAUAAGAGCGGCAUCGUUUUUAUAUUAAAGCUACGGUGGUGAAAGAUGAGUAUGCGUUCUAUUAGCUAGUUGGAGAGGUAACGGCUCCCCAAGGCGACGAUAGAUAGGGGUUCUGAGAGGGAUGUCCCCCACACUGGUACUGAGAUACGGACCAGACUCCUACGGGAGGCAGCAGUGAGGAAUAUUGGACAAUGGUCGGAAGACUGAUCCAGCCAUGCCGCGUGCAGGAUGAAGGUCCUAUGGAUUGUAAACUGCUUUUGUAAGGGAAGAAUAAGGAGUACGUGUACUUUGAUGACGGUACCUUACGAAUAAGCAUCGGCUAACUCCGUGCCAGCAGCCGCGGUAAUACGGAGGAUGCGAGCGUUAUCCGGAAUCAUUGGGUUUAAAGGGUCCGUAGGCGGGCUGAUAAGUCAGAGGUGAAAGCGCUUAGCUCAACUAAGCAACUGCCUUUGAAACUGUCAGUCUUGAAUGAUUGUGAAGUAGUUGGAAUGUGUAGUGUAGCGGUGAAAUGCUUAGAUAUUACACAGAACACCGAUAGCGAAGGCAUAUUACUAACAAUUUAUUGACGCUGAUGGACGAAAGCGUGGGGAGCGAACAGGAUUAGAUACCCUGGUAGUCCACGCUGUAAACGAUGGAUACUAGCUGUUUGGAGCAAUCUGAGUGGCUAAGCGAAAGUGAUAAGUAUCCCA